GCUUUUUUAGCAAACCCCCCCAGUGCAUCAAAUUUAGAUUUUGAAGAUGUAGAGUCUUCUACAAAAAGCU
This 70-nucleotide transfer RNA is filed under the name Brueelia antiqua. Its description in RNAcentral is "tRNA-Leu". Lineage: Eukaryota; Metazoa; Arthropoda; Insecta; Psocodea; Philopteridae. The record is from RNAcentral.